Molecule: ribosomal RNA, 891 nt
Rfam family: Eukaryotic large subunit ribosomal RNA
AUAUCAAUAAGCGGAGGAAAAGAAACCAACAGGGAUUGCCCUAGUAACGGCGAGUGAAGCGGCAACAGCUCAAAUUUGAAAUCUGGCCCUCGCGGCCCGAGUUGUAAUUUGCAGAGGAUGCUUUUGGCGCGGCGCCUUCCGAGUUCCCUGGAACGGGACGCCAGAGAGGGUGAGAGCCCCGUACGGUUGGACGCCUAGCCUAUAUAUAGCUCCUUCGACGAGUCGAGUAGUUUGGGAAUGCUGCUCUAAAUGGGAGGUAAAUUUCUUCUAAAGCUAAAUACCGGCCAGAGACCGAUAGCGCACAAGUAGAGUGAUCGAAAGAUGAAAAGCACUUUGAAAAGAGGGUUAAAUAGCACGUGAAAUUGUUGAAAGGGAAGCGUUUGCGACCAGACCUUCUCCGGGCGGAUCAUCCGGUGUUCUCACCGGUGCACUUCGCCCGGUCUAGGCCAGCAUCGGUUUCCUUAGGGGGAUAAAGGCCUGGGGAACGUAGCUCUCUAGGGAGUGUUAUAGCCCCUGGCGCAAUACCCCUCGGGGGACCGAGGACCGCGCUCUGCAAGGAUGCUGGCGUAAUGGUCGUCAACGACCCGUCUUGAAACACGGACCAAGGAGUCGAACAUUUGUGCGAGUGUUUGGGUGUCAAACCCUCACGCGUAAUGAAAGUGAACGGAGGUGAGAGCCCCCCGGGGUGCAUCAUCGACCGAUCCUGAAGUCUUCGGAUGGAUUUGAGUAAGAGCACAGCUGUUCGGACCCGAAAGAUGGUGAACUAUGCGUGGAUAGGGUGAAGCCAGAGGAAACUCUGGUGGAGGCUCGCAGCGGUUCUGACGUGCAAAUCGAUCGUCAAAUCUGCGCAUGGGGGCGAAAGACUUAUCGAACCAUCUAGUAGCUGGUACC